This 73-nucleotide transfer RNA is filed under the name unidentified. RNAcentral describes it as "Aerococcaceae bacterium No. 9 tRNA-Lys". It matches the Rfam family "tRNA". Rfam says of the family: Transfer RNA (tRNA) molecules are approximately 80 nucleotides in length. The record is from RNAcentral.
GGAGGUAUAGCUCAGUUGGUAGAGCAACUGACUCUUAAUCAGUGGGUCUAGGGUUCGAGCCCCUAUGCCUCUA